AGCAGCCGCGGUAAUUCCAGCUCCAAUAGCGUAUAUUAAAGUUGUUGCAGUUAAAAAGCUCGUAGUUGAAUUUCGGGGUCGGUAGGUUGGUCAUGCCUCUGGUAUGCACUGGUCUCACUGAUUCCUCCUUCCUGAUGAGCCGUAAUGCCAUUAAUUUGGUGUUGCGAGGAAUCUGGACUGUUACUUUGAAAAAAUUGAGUGUUUAAAGCAAGCUGACGCUUGAAUACAUUAGCAUGGAAUAAUGGAAUAGGACGUUCGAUCCUAUUUUGUUGGUUUCUAGGAUUGACGUAAUGAUUAAUAGGGAUAGUUGGGGGCAUUAGUAUUCAAUUGUCAGAGGUGAAGUUCUUGGAUUUAUUGAAGACUAACUACUGCGAAAGCAUUUGCCAAGGAUGUUUUCAUUAAUCAAGAACGAAAGUUAGGGGAUCGAAGACGAUCAGAUACCGUCGUAGUCUUAAACCAUAAACUAUGCCGACUAGGGAUCGGAUGAUGUUAAUUUUUAAUGACUCU
This 507-nucleotide ribosomal RNA is filed under the name uncultured Glomus. Its description in RNAcentral is "SSU rRNA". It matches the Rfam family "Eukaryotic small subunit ribosomal RNA", at positions 569 to 1078 of the family's 1831-position model. The record is from RNAcentral. Lineage: Eukaryota; Fungi; Glomeromycota; Glomeromycetes; Glomerales; Glomeraceae.